UAGAGUUUGAUCCUGGCUCAGAUUGAACGCUGGCGGCAGGCCUAACACAUGCAAGUCGAGCGGAUGAAAGGAGCUUGCUCCUGGAUUCAGCGGCGGACGGGUGAGUAAUGCCUAGGAAUCUGCCUGGUAGUGGGGGACAACGUUUCGAAAGGAACGCUAAUACCGCAUACGUCCUACGGGAGAAAGCAGGGGACCUUCGGGCCUUGCGCUAUCAGAUGAGCCUAGGUCGGAUUAGCUAGUUGGUGAGGUAAUGGCUCACCAAGGCGACGAUCCGUAACUGGUCUGAGAGGAUGAUCAGUCACACUGGAACUGAGACACGGUCCAGACUCCUACGGGAGGCAGCAGUGGGGAAUAUUGGACAAUGGGCGAAAGCCUGAUCCAGCCAUGCCGCGUGUGUGAAGAAGGUCUUCGGAUUGUAAAGCACUUUAAGUUGGGAGGAAGGGCAGUAAAUUAAUACUUUGCUGUUUUGACGUUACCGACAGAAUAAGCACCGGCUAACUCUGUGCCAGCAGCCGCGGUAAUACAGAGGGUGCAAGCGUUAAUCGGAAUUACUGGGCGUAAAGCGCGCGUAGGUGGUUUGUUAAGUUGGAUGUGAAAUCCCCGGGCUCAACCUGGGAACUGCAUCCAAAACUGGCAAGCUAGAGUAUGGUAGAGGGUGGUGGAAUUUCCUGUGUAGCGGUGAAAUGCGUAGAUAUAGGAAGGAACACCAGUGGCGAAGGCGACCACC
This 727-nucleotide ribosomal RNA is filed under the name Pseudomonas baetica. Its description in RNAcentral is "bacterial SSU rRNA". It matches the Rfam family "Bacterial small subunit ribosomal RNA", at positions 1 to 729 of the family's 1533-position model. The record is from RNAcentral. Lineage: Bacteria; Pseudomonadati; Pseudomonadota; Gammaproteobacteria; Pseudomonadales; Pseudomonadaceae.